This is a long non-coding RNA of Tachysurus fulvidraco (yellow catfish), 1890 nucleotides long. RefSeq lists it as uncharacterized. NCBI's taxonomy places the organism in Eukaryota, Metazoa, Chordata, Actinopteri, Siluriformes, Bagridae. The record is from RefSeq and is a predicted model, not a curated record. The transcript is spliced from 2 exons.
CACACACGCCUACAUCUGAGCGCUGUGUAACUAACACACACACGCCUACAUCUGAGCGCUGUGUAACUAACACACACACGCCUACAUCUGAGCGCUGUGUAACUAACACACACACACACACAUGCCUACAUUCGAGCGCUGUGUAACUUUAGAGUUCUUAUCGACAUCCGUUCACAUACAGCACACAUUCUCUUUCUUACGAUUCUGUAGCGUAUAAACUUUCAUUCUGACUUGUAACAAGUUCAUUCCAGCUACUCGGCUAACGUUAACACACCGUCGCUGAUCCACAUGCUACAUGCUAGCGGCGGAUGCUACAUCAGUACUAGCGUGGUCAGGAUAGAAACAUUGGAACGUCGUUGUUAAAAUUGUGUGAAUGCGUUACACUUUAUAGUAAUCUGGAACAGUAUGUCAUGUUUAUGACAUGUUAUAACUCCUUCCACUGGAAGUCAGAUUCCAUCCUGUGAGGUGUUGCGAGUUAGAAGUGACAGAGAUCAGAGCGUUGAGGUCGGGUGAACAAGUCUGUUCACACAGGAGCAGAGGCGAAUAGAAUCGAAGAAGGCGGGGCUUCGUGCCGUUGUUAGACGCAGCAUCGCAUGAACCUGGUGCGACAGGACAGAGAUGGGAAUCAGAAUUAUAUAUCGGAUUAUUUAUAAGUUCUGUGUGUUCUAUAAAGUGUGAAGCAUUUUCAUAAAUAAUUAGGACCUGUGUGUGUGUGUGUGUGUGUGUGUGUGUGUGUGUGUGUGUGUGUGUGUGUGUGUGGUGCUUAAUGAAUGCAUUAUAACACAAUUUUGUACAUUGUGUUUCUGGAAGCGUGUGUAAGGGGAAGUCUAUAAUGGGGCACUAACCUGAACACUGUUAUUGAAACACAGCCGUGUCUCUGCACUCUGUGUGAUAUUUAUAUAGAUAUAUAAACAUCGUGUGUCCUCGCGUUUGUUAUUCGGUACUCAGCUUGUGUGUGUGUGUGUGUGUGUGUGUGUGUGUGUGUGUGUGUGUGUGUGUGUGUGUGUGUGUGUGUGUGUGUGUGUGGUUUAAUCCUGACUCGCCCUCAGCUAAUGUCGCGUCUCUGCCUAAUUGGCACAAACAUUAUUGGGGUAAAACUGAAUUGUCGUUUGAAGACGUAUCGGCGUCGGUGACGACUCGGGUAACGAAGUUGUUUUUCUGUACAUUGGAUCAGAAUCCAUUUAAAGGGGAAGUCAUUACGUUAAUGCGGUUAGGACUUUAAGUGUAAGUAAUGAUUUUGCAGGUAAAACUCGGUUAAAGAGGACUUUUUGACCUCGAUGAACUCGGGGACGGUAAAAUUAAAUUUGUUACGAAAUUCCUCACGUAUUUGCGGAUCAGCGUGUAAUCGUGUAACGACGUCACGAAGGCCGCACACAGCCAACGCCGCUGCACGACUUUUUUAAAGGAACGUCGUCCGCAUUUGUGGCAGUGUGAAUUAAAAUGAUGUUUAAUAAAUUCGAUUCAACUCAAAUUUAUUUGUAUAGCGAAUAAUGAUUAAUAUAAACGUCACAUUUCCGGUUAUUUGUCGUCAUUUUACUGCUUUUAUUUUUGUUCCAUGUCUCAGUGUAAAACAAAACAACAACUUUGCCAAUUUUCUGGCUAUUUUAAUAAUAAUUUCAUCUUCAUUUCUAAACUAAAGAACGUGUGUAUGUCUUCUGAAGACAUCGGGUUCCCCAAAGGUUCCUCUUAUUAAGUCGUGUAUAUUUUCUGCUGAAACAGAUUCGACUCUUCACCUCGUCACUGAACUUCGAGAACAUUAAGAACCGUGCAGAAUGUCAGAGUCCUGGAAAGGAUUCAUUUGUUUUGUAAUGUUUUUUGUUUUUUUAUUUCACAAAAAUGUUUCACGUCUGUCUAAACUGUUCAUCUUCAAUAAAUGUCGUAUUAAUCACA